This 652-nucleotide unclassified non-coding RNA is filed under the name Hevea brasiliensis (rubber tree). Lineage: Eukaryota; Viridiplantae; Streptophyta; Magnoliopsida; Malpighiales; Euphorbiaceae. The record is from RNAcentral.
UUCCACCUGUUUUGGUCUGCUUUCUGGUAUAAGCAACCCAAGGCCCUGCUUCCUAUCAUCAUCCAAAUAAGGCUUGUACUUGUUCUGAUACAAUGGAUUGGAUGUCAACACCCGCAACUCCGAAUUCCCAUUGAUCUCCAAAACUUCAGGCAACCCAUUUGUGCACCCUUUUGACAUACCCACAUCAAUCCUUAUUGCCCUAUUGUCACAAACCCCAUUAAUGCCAGCCUCCUGAAUAGUAUGGCCCAUAAUCAUCCUCUUCACCCCAGGAAUUGUAGCAAGAACAUGUUCCAGAGCUGAACAAUCACAGUUCUUAGCCACCUCAUCAGAGAACUUCCUCAACCAAACAACACCAUUCCUCCCUUUGCAAUAAAGUGGCGCAGAUUUUUGUGUUAACCCAGUAAUCCAAUCCCUAACCUCCUUAUUCAUCCUCUCCAACCCAUAGUCCACAUGUUCUGCUAAUAAUCCUCCAUGAACAAAAACUGAAUCCCCAACAACCAACACAGUCAAAUUCUUUGACAAAAAUUUAUUGGCUAUAGGGCCAUCAGGUCUCAAUGCAGCAAUUCUAGCUCUCAUACCAUGAAAAUACUCUUCUUUAACUCCUCGAAAAGUUAAAGGAAUCCCAUCAAAGAUAUCCUUCGGCUUUUCCAGU